Molecule: long non-coding RNA, 753 nt
Organism: Vicia villosa (hairy vetch)
Lineage: Eukaryota; Viridiplantae; Streptophyta; Magnoliopsida; Fabales; Fabaceae
Exons: 3
Source: RefSeq, a predicted model, not a curated record
CCUUUCUCUCAUACAACCCCUUCACGUCUCCUUUUUUUCUCCCCCAACCCUAGCCGCCGCAGCCCCUUCUCAUUUCUAUAUAGGACCAUUACCACCUCCGAUUGAAAAACCAAUGCCAUAUCCGUUCUCUUCAUCUCUCAACCUUCCUAAUGAACCGAAUAUAAUUUUGUUUCGGUGAACCUUGUCGUCGACCCAGAUUAUGGAUUGUUGUUUUGAAGGCUUGGUACUCUCUUAUCUCAAAUGGUCAGUAUUUCUAUUUAAUACUUUCUAUCUCUUUGUAUUCUCACCAUGAAAUUCACUUUUUUCUUGUCAGUGUUUACAGGUUUGGGAUGGAUAAGGGUUCUCUUAGGGUUUUGAAGGCUUGGUACUCUCAUAUCUCAAAUGGAAUUUCAAGGGUUGGCAUACUCAACUAUAAAUGAUAUAUAAGCUUGAAAAUAAAGCACAUUUCAAGAGAUAAAGGAGGCUGGUCACUUGGCUCACUUGGAGAGACCAAUAUUUAUAAAAAGAGCCUUAAACAGUUUCUUUCCUCAGUUAUGCUUGGUAAAAGAAAAUAAUGUCAAUGGGGUGUUUUUUUAGUUCUAAGUUGAUAAGUUAUUUGAGUGAGUCUAAUUAUGUCUUUACUUUUUAAGUUAUUGUUGUGAAAGUUUCCAAACAUUGAUAUGAAUGUUUGUAUUAAGUGUAUUCAAGUAAACUCUUACAAACACUUCUUAAUACUAGAAUUAUAUUGAAGCUCUGUUUCAAAAUUAACACUGG